This 240-nucleotide ribosomal RNA is filed under the name Paraglomus brasilianum. RNAcentral's name for it is "partial 18S ribosomal RNA". It matches the Rfam family "Eukaryotic small subunit ribosomal RNA", at positions 1593 to 1830 of the family's 1831-position model. The record is from RNAcentral. Lineage: Eukaryota; Fungi; Glomeromycota; Glomeromycetes; Paraglomerales; Paraglomeraceae.
UCGCUCUUCAACGAGGAAUCCCUAGUAAGCGCGAGUCAUUAGCUCGCGUUGAUUACGUCCCUGCCCUUUGUACACACCGCCCGUCGCUACUACCGAUUGAAUGGCUUAGUGAGACUUUCGGAUGUGUUUGGAGCCGCUGGCAACAGUGACACCUUGCGCAGAAGUUAUUCAAACUUGGUCAUUUAGAGGAAGUAAAAGUCGUAACAAGGUUUCCGUAGGUGAACCUGCGGAAGGAUCAUU